RNAcentral lists this ribosomal RNA (253 nucleotides) under uncultured bacterium. Its description in RNAcentral is "partial 16S ribosomal RNA". It matches the Rfam family "Bacterial small subunit ribosomal RNA", at positions 524 to 776 of the family's 1533-position model. The record is from RNAcentral.
UACGUAGGAGGCAAGCGUUGUCCGGAAUUACUGGGCGUAAAGCGCGUGUAGGUGGUGGGACAAGUCUGCUGUGAAAGUGCCUGGCUUAACCGGGCGAGGUCGGCGGAAACUGUCCGACUCGAGGACGGUAGAGGGGGGUGGAAUUCCCGGUGUAGUGGUGAAAUGCGUAGAGAUCGGGAGGAACACCAGAGGCGAAGGCGGCGACCUGGACAGCUACUGACACUCAACUACGAAAGCGUGGGGAGCAAACAGG